This 490-nucleotide ribosomal RNA is filed under the name uncultured bacterium. RNAcentral's name for it is "partial 16S ribosomal RNA". It matches the Rfam family "Bacterial small subunit ribosomal RNA", at positions 30 to 507 of the family's 1533-position model. The record is from RNAcentral.
AUUGAACGCUGGCGGCAGGCCUAACACAUGCAAGUCGAACGGUAACAGGAAACAGCUUGCUGUUACGCUGACGAGUGGCGGACGGGUGAGUAAUGUCUGGGAAACUGCCUGAUGGAGGGGGAUAACUACUGGAAACGGUAGCUAAUACCGCAUAACGUCGCAAGACCAAAGAGGGGGACCUUCGGGCCUCUUGCCAUCGGAUGUGCCCAGAUGGGAUUAGCUAGUAGGUGGGGUAACGGCUCACCUAGGCGACGAUCCCUAGCUGGUCUGAGAGGAUGACCAGCCACGCUGGAACUGAGACACGGUCCAGACUCCUACGGGAGGCAGCAGUGGGGAAUAUUGCACAAUGGGCGCAAGCCUGAUGCAGCCAUGCCGCGUGUAUGAAGAAGGCCUUCGGGUUGUAAAGUACUUUCAGCGGGGAGGAAGGGAGUAAAGUUAAUACCUUUACUCAUUGACGUUACCCGCAGAAGAAGCACCGGCUAACUCCGUG